This is a long non-coding RNA of Hevea brasiliensis (rubber tree), 2857 nucleotides long. RefSeq lists it as uncharacterized. The transcript has 5 exons. Lineage: Eukaryota; Viridiplantae; Streptophyta; Magnoliopsida; Malpighiales; Euphorbiaceae. The record is from RefSeq and is a predicted model, not a curated record.
CAAAGCGGCCGAUGGUAGAUUCCUCGCAUAGAGUUCGGCCCAGCAACCCCAACACUGCAGCUGUGUGUGAACCAUUCUCCGAUUCCAGUACAGUACUGACUCACUGAACCUCCUCAAGAAACCCACUCUCAAAUCUCUCUCUCUCUCUCUCUCUCUCGCUCGCUCGCUCUCUCUCUGAACUCCAUUGUUGUAACCUGCAAGAUUGUAUUGAGAAUUGAAUGCGGGAAGGAAUCCAUGUAGCGAACAACAUCUAGUUCUGAGUUUUUGUUUGAAUUUUUGGAGUCCUAACUUGCAAUUCUACAAAAAUUACGAUUAUUUAAUCAUUCAAGUCUGAACUUGGAGUUUCUUUCUUCUAUGGGAUGGACUUUUUCCAUUGAAAGGGUAUGAUGAGGUCUGUCUAUUGUUGUUUUGGUCCUUAACUGGAUGAAGUAUACAACAGAAUCAGAAGGUCAAGAUCCUUCAGUUUCAAUUAUCCACAUUGGUAAAUUACUGAGACUGAUAUUUUUUCAUAGAUUUGUAAUCAUUUUAUUGCAUAAUUUUGCUUCAAAUAACGGUAAUGCUUCUCAUGCCAGUGCAAUUGGUUUGCCAUUAUUUCUGGAAAUUCCAUUCAAAAAAUGUUUCUUAUAUUUGAAAAAAGAAAUUGUUAAUCAACCAGCUUGUUUCUAGAUCCAAAUUUUUCCUGUAAUAUGAUUAUGUCAAUUGCUAGUUACUGCUAUAAUCUAAUAACCAUAACUCAAAAUAUGAGAAGGAUAUAAAAAGGAUGAAAUUAUAUGUUACCUGAUGGGAAGUUGAAAUUCACUUAUUGAAAAAUGCUAUCAAAAUUUUGCUGGUGGUUAUGUGGAGGCCUGCCAGUUAUUAACAUAACUGCCAAAUGGCUUUUGCAUAAGGUAUUCUGUUUUGAAGUCUCUUAAAUUAGAAGCAUACUGGUUGGACUUCUCUUGAACUCCUUUUACCCAUGUGUGUUUUGUUCUCUGGUUUUAAAUAGGUAUAUGUUUUAGCAAAGAAAAAAAUGCAUUCUUUAUGCACUGGUUCUUAUUAUUGUCCAACUCUUCAAUUAGAGGUGGAGUUGGAGAAGUUGAGUGCCUUGGAUUAAAUGCUUUGUUUAAGUAUUGAAGAGAAACCAAUCACAGCAUAAAAAAAUUACUUUCUUUGUUGAGGCCAAAGUUGCUUCUGCAUAAUAUAAUUGGGAUGUAACUUGUAUCCUGAUGAUUGACUUGACUCUUUCAUUUUUUACAUCAUUUUGGUUGUUCAACUGAUUUAUCGAUUUAUUUUAUUUAAGUUCUUAUUUCCAGUUCAUAUCCAAUUGCAGCAGAAUGGUGUAAUUACUGGCUAAAUAAAGAGGUCAACCAUUUUUGGUGAGAGUAUUGUUUAUUACUAGCUACAAAAGGUGUUUACCUUUAAUUGUUGUUAUGCCAUUUCAAGAAGAGGUUAAAAGUAAUUCUUUUAGAUGUGUAUUCCUCUUUAAUUAUACCAUUACUAGCUAAAUCUAUUAGUAGAUACAGACAAGGUAUUUCCUUUAAAUUAAUUGUGUGUCAUUUCCAUUGGAGGUUAAAACUAUUAUUUUUUAAUGUUUUACACCAUUCUAGAUAUCGGUACAAAGUGUAUCACUCAUUUUGUAUUUGCAUUUAAGUUAUAAUAGAGUAGAACAAACGUUCAAGAAAAAUGAGAAAAAAAAAAUUCUCAAAAAAAAGGAGGCCUUGUUUGCUGUUGACAGUAAGUAUUAUAUAUUGCUAGGCUUAUUUAGUGGACCCCAGUCCAUAGCUAAAAAUAUACAUGUAACAGGAGAAACUAAAUAGAAUGCAAAGAGAGAGAUUAGAGAAGGAAGCAUAUUUUUUGCACGGCAAUGGAGACGUGUCUAAUUUGGGGUUACGUGUUUGAUUGAGGGAAAGGGAAUCUACGCUGUGGAGUUUUAUUUAGCUUUUUGCUAAUUGUAUCACUUCUUUUUCUGAGAUUGAUGAUGGAAUGUGUCUUGGUGGUUUGUUACAAUCAUUCUGCUGGUGAUUCAUUUCUCAAAGUCUUUCUGUUAAGGCCACAAAAACCAUUCGUCAAAAUGGUUCGCAUUUUUCUCAACGUUUACUACCGUAGAUGGAAAAGAUGGCUUUCUCGCUUUGUUGCAAGAUGUGAGCGAUUAAUUCAAAAUCUCUGGUUACAUCGUGAUUUUUUGGUCGAGUUUUCUAUGAUUACGUUCAUGCUUUGGUACUAUUCAGUAGUGUUUUACCUUCAAAGUGUGAAAGUAGUUUUUGUAUCUUACCAGUGAAUUUUGCUUUGGUUUAUAUAUAUGUACGUAUUUCAUCUGGAUCCUUGUUGAUAUUUUCUGCUAGAACAAUGCAUCUGGAAUCUGCAUUCCAGUACGAGUAUGUUUUUCUUCGUCAAUGAAACAAAUGUGAAGCUGUUGUAAUGUUAUAAUAUCAUAAUGUGAAGCUGUUGAUUUUUGAUUCAUGUUCGAAGCUGCGACUGCUGAAAGAAAUGGCAAGCAACCUUUUUCUUUUGCAAGAAAUAAGGCUAAAUCUGCAAGGGAGAAAAAGAGUACACCCUAUAGAUACAGGGGAAAGAAACCCAGCUGUGGUGCAGUGGGGACUACUGUCUUACCGCCUUGAUUGUGCAAGAGGUGGUUAAUAAGGCAGCCAACUGACAAGAAUUGAAGCCUUUAAAUUGUAUUUGGCUAGUCUUUAUUAAAGAAAUUGAGAUGAGGACAGGCCCUUCUUGCUAACCCUGUCAGGAACAUGAGGUUGAUAGUUGUCCUUUUUGUUUAACAACAAAAACAACCCCGGUACAUUUGAAUUUGUGAGGAUAUUAUCUAUCAGGCACAUCAUGCCAAAUGAAUUUAAUAUAGAAAUUGAUUAAGAUUUGGACUACA